AUCGCUUCUCGGCCUUUUGGCUAAGAUCAUGUGUAGUAUCUGUUCUUAUCAGUUUAAUAUUUUAAAGAUAUAAAUCUGUAAUCCUUAAAAAUUUUU
RNAcentral lists this small nuclear RNA (96 nucleotides) under Myotis davidii. Its description in RNAcentral is "U2 spliceosomal RNA". It matches the Rfam family "U2 spliceosomal RNA", at positions 1 to 103 of the family's 192-position model. From Rfam's summary of the family: U2 is a small nuclear RNA (snRNA) component of the spliceosome (involved in pre-mRNA splicing). Complementary binding between U2 snRNA (in an area lying towards the 5' end but 3' to hairpin I) and the branchpoint sequence (BPS) of the intron results the bulging out of an unpaired adenosine, on the BPS, which initiates a nucleophilic attack at the intronic 5' splice site, thus starting the first of two transesterification reactions that mediate splicing. Lineage: Eukaryota; Metazoa; Chordata; Mammalia; Chiroptera; Vespertilionidae. The record is from Rfam by way of RNAcentral.